Molecule: small nuclear RNA, 101 nt
Filed under: Castor canadensis (American beaver)
Lineage: Eukaryota; Metazoa; Chordata; Mammalia; Rodentia; Castoridae
Source: RNAcentral
GUACUUGCUUCCGCACAUAUACUAAAACUGAACCGACAAAGAAGAUUAGCAGGACUCUGCACAAGGAUGACAUGCAAGUUCUUGGAGUGUUUAUAAAAACC